RNAcentral lists this ribosomal RNA (225 nucleotides) under uncultured bacterium. RNAcentral's name for it is "partial 16S ribosomal RNA". It matches the Rfam family "Bacterial small subunit ribosomal RNA", at positions 1267 to 1500 of the family's 1533-position model. The record is from RNAcentral.
GCGGAUCUCGAAAGCCUGUCCCAGUUCGGACNGGAGUCUGCAACCCGACUCCACGAAGUUGGAUUCGCUAGUAAUCGCGCAUCAGCCAUGGCGCGGUGAAUACGUUCCCGGGCCUUGUACACACCGCCCGUCAAGCCAUGGGAGCCGGGGGCGCCUGAAGUCCGGGACCGCGAGGACCGGCCUAGGGCGAAACUGGUAACUGGGGCUAAGUCGUAACAAGGUACC